Molecule: ribosomal RNA, 549 nt
Filed under: uncultured bacterium
Lineage: Bacteria
Description: partial 16S ribosomal RNA
Rfam family: Bacterial small subunit ribosomal RNA
Source: RNAcentral
UGGGGAAUUUUGGACAAUGGGCGCAAGCCUGAUCCAGCCAUGCCGCGUGCGGGAAGAAGGCCUUCGGGUUGUAACCGCUUUUGUCAGGGAAGAAAUCUUCUGAGUUAAUACCUCGGGAGGAUGACGGUACCUGAAGAAUAAGCACCGGCUAACUACGUGCCAGCAGCCGCGGUAAUACGUAGGGUGCAAGCGUUAAUCGGAAUUACUGGGCGUAAAGCGUGCGCAGGCGGUUUUGUAAGACAGAGGUGAAAUCCCCGGGCUCAACCUGGGAACUGCCUUUGUGACUGCAAGGCUUGAGUGCGGCAGAGGGGAUGGAAUUCCGCGUGUAGCAGUGAAAUGCGUAGAUAUGCGGAGGAACACCGAUGGCGAAGGCAAUCCCCUGGGCCUGCACUGACGCUCAUGCACGAAAGCGUGGGGAGCAAACAGGAUUAGAUACCCUGGUAGUCCACGCCCUAAACGAUGUCAACUGGUUGUUGGGAAGGUUCCUUCUCAGUAACGUAGCUAACGCGUGAAGUUGACCGCCUGGGGAGUACGGCCGCAAGGUUGAAA